CCAUGACGGCUUUUUCUGUCAGGUCACGUGACACGACAUGCCCCGCCCAUUGGCUGAUGGACCUACGUGAAUCCAGGUGAACACACAGUUCCAGUAGGUUCACAGUGGCAGUAUAACAAAGUCAGCUCUGAGGUUUCGCCUGGCUCAGCAGAGGCCUACAGAGAUCUGGGGCAUUCAAUUCAGCUCAGCUGACAGGGCUCUUUGCUUGUUCAUGGAGCUCUUUCUGGAACGGGCCAUUCACAAGCACAGGCCAUAAAUGAUCAAGUUGAAGACCACAUUGAAAACACUAUUCUCAAAAAAAAACAGCCAAAAUGCCAGGAACAAAAGGUAAUAAGUCAGACAAGAAGCCAGCUACCAAGCAACCUCAAAGUCCUAAAGAGCAGCCUAAGAAAGGUGAUCAGAAAGGAGACGAUAACAAGAAGCAAGGAGGACAGCCGAAGGGAGAGAAACAGUAACUUCCAGGCAUUUGUAAAGAUGGCUUUGAAGACACUGCUGGGGUCCUGCCGUCGUAAACACGGGGGUCCUUGGGGCAGACAGAGCUGAGUGCACCUCCCUUCUCCUCCACACUUUCCCCUCCAGUCUGCAGACUGGGCUACAUCUUCUCUCCUCUCAGAGACAGAAAGUGAAUGUGAUCUCCGUCUAUCACAUCUGUUGUUCAACUCCUGUUCCUUCCCCCUUGCCAAACUUUUCUCUGUCCCCUUCCCCACACUGGAUGCUCAGAGAAAGGCCCCAGGUAAAGCUGGAUCAUUGCUUUGAGCAGAAAAACUGUCACUCUUUUGCAAUCCUUCCCUCCCUCACCCUCACCCCAUGACUGUCUGACAGUUCAGAUUCUUCAUGUAAAUAAUGAUGAUUCU
Monopterus albus (swamp eel) is the source of this 854-nucleotide long non-coding RNA. RefSeq lists it as uncharacterized. The record is from RefSeq and is a predicted model, not a curated record. NCBI's taxonomy places the organism in Eukaryota, Metazoa, Chordata, Actinopteri, Synbranchiformes, Synbranchidae. The transcript has 5 exons.